Molecule: ribosomal RNA, 253 nt
Filed under: uncultured bacterium
Lineage: Bacteria
Description: partial 16S ribosomal RNA
Rfam family: Bacterial small subunit ribosomal RNA
Source: RNAcentral
UACGUAGGGAGCUAGCGUUGUUCGGAAUUACUGGGCGUAAAGCGCGCGUAGGCGGCUUUGUAAGUUAGAGGUGAAAGCCCGGGGCUCAACCCCGGAAUUGCCUUUAAGACUGCAUCGCUUGAAUCCGGGAGAGGUGAGUGGAAUUCCGAGUGUAGAGGUGAAAUUCGUAGAUAUUCGGAAGAACACCAGUGGCGAAGGCGGCGCACUGGACCGGCAUUGACGCUGAGGUGCGAAAGCGUGGGGAGCAAACAGG